Molecule: long non-coding RNA, 504 nt
Organism: Erigeron canadensis
Lineage: Eukaryota; Viridiplantae; Streptophyta; Magnoliopsida; Asterales; Asteraceae
Exons: 2
Source: RefSeq, a predicted model, not a curated record
UGUAGUGAGAAAAAGAACACCAAACACCUCCUGCCCUUUUUCCUCUUUUGAUCGACCACACACAAACACAUACACACAAAAACACUCUAGUUUCUUUUUCUUAUUUGGAUUUGGCAGGAGGGAUCUAAAGCAAAACAUCUUUAAUUUUUGAAAUAAUAAAAACCAUUUGGCGAGGAUUUCAAGAAAAUCAUCGUCAUCUUUAUCCUCAUUUCUUCUAGACAUCAUUUUUCCAAGAACAUCAAGAUUGUAACCAACAGUAAGUCUUGGAUCAUCUUGGCAUUAUAGGGCCAUUCUUUUCACUUUGGACAUAUAAUUAGCGUCAGACAUUGGAGGACUAUUAUGUUCUUAUAUCUAAUUGUACUAGACGGUCCAAAUAUUUAUCUUGUAUUAAGUGGGCCCAAUUCCAUAUAUGGAUGACUUGUAUCCGUAUUCUGGGGUCCACAUUUGAACGAUUGUAUUUGUAUUAGACUUGUAUUUGGUAUUAAAUGGAUGUAAUUUCUAUUA